Molecule: ribosomal RNA, 253 nt
Filed under: uncultured bacterium
Lineage: Bacteria
Description: partial 16S ribosomal RNA
Rfam family: Bacterial small subunit ribosomal RNA
Source: RNAcentral
UACGGAGGGUGCAAGCGUUAAUCGGAAUUAUUGGGCGUAAAGCGUGCGUAGGCGGUUUGUUAAGUCUGUUGUGAAAUCCCCGGGCUCAACCUGGGAAUGGCAAUGGAUACUGGCAGGCUAGAGUGUGUCAGAGGAUGGUGGAAUUCCCGGUGUAGCGGUGAAAUGCGUAGAGAUCGGGAGGAACAUCAGUGGCGAAGGCGGCCAUCUGGGACAACACUGACGCUGAGGCACGAAAGCGUGGGGAGCAAACAGG